Long non-coding RNA from Haliotis rufescens (red abalone), 509 nucleotides. RefSeq lists it as uncharacterized. Lineage: Eukaryota; Metazoa; Mollusca; Gastropoda; Lepetellida; Haliotidae. The transcript is spliced from 3 exons. The record is from RefSeq and is a predicted model, not a curated record.
UGUACCACGUGGUGUGAAACCAGCUUCUAUAACCUGAGUCACACGCAGUGGAACAGCGUUAGCCUGACUGUGUCUGUCCCCGCCUUCCACACAUGCUCCACAAGAACUGACUAUGAUCUUCCCGGUGCUGAUUGUGCUUUCAUUCACGGUGUUUCCAGCAGAGGCUCGAAAUGUUAUCCCCACUUCUUCUGAAUUGUGCAUGAGGAACUGGUGUGGACGAGUCUCAUUUAGUAUAACUUCGGGCAAGGGUACAUCCAACAAUGGUUACUGGCUGUGUCAACUUGGCAGACAGUUCUGCUUAUCCAGCACGACAGCACGGCCAACUACGACAACAACAACUGCCAUAAGAACUACGCCAACUACAACGACGACCAGCACAACUAAGCCAACUACAACGACUACAACCACCACUACAACUACGCCAACUACAACGACCACCACCACUACUACAACAACCACAACUACUACUACUACUACUACCCCAACUACAACGACAACUACUACUACUA